Molecule: microRNA precursor, 79 nt
Organism: Homo sapiens (human)
Lineage: Eukaryota; Metazoa; Chordata; Mammalia; Primates; Hominidae
Product: microRNA 1295a
Source: Ensembl
AGGACAUUUUGCCCAGAUCCGUGGCCUAUUCAGAAAUGUGGCCUGUGAUUAGGCCGCAGAUCUGGGUGAAAUGUCCUCC